CCUACGGGGGGCAGCAGUGGGGAAUAUUGCACAAUGGGGGAAACCCUGAUGCAGCGACGCCGCGUGAAGGAAGAAGUAUUUCGGUAUGUAAACUUCUAUCAGCAGGGAAGAAAAUGACGGUACCUGACUAAGAAGCCCCGGCUAACUACGUGCCAGCCGCCGCGGUAAUACGUAGGGGGCAAGCGUUAUCCGGAUUUACUGGGUGUAAAGGGAGCGUAGGCGGUGAUGCAAGUCAGAAGUGAAAGCCCGCAGCUCAACUGCGGGACUGCUUUUGAAACUGUAUGACUAGAUUGCAGGAGAGGUAAGUGGAAUUCCUAGUGUAGCGGUAAAAUGCGUAGAUAGAUGGAAGAACACCAGUGGCGAAGGCGGCCGCCUGGCCUGUUGCUGACGCUGAGGCACGAAAGCGUGGGGAGCAAAUAGGAUUAGAUACCCUGGUAGUC
Molecule: ribosomal RNA, 440 nt
Filed under: uncultured bacterium
Lineage: Bacteria
Description: partial 16S ribosomal RNA
Rfam family: Bacterial small subunit ribosomal RNA
Source: RNAcentral